RNAcentral lists this ribosomal RNA (533 nucleotides) under uncultured Dothideomycetes. RNAcentral's name for it is "eukaryotic LSU rRNA". The stretch from base 191 to 344 matches the Rfam family "5.8S ribosomal RNA". The record is from RNAcentral. Lineage: Eukaryota; Fungi; Ascomycota; Dothideomycetes.
UAAAAGUCGUAACAAGGUUUCCGUAGGUGAACCUGCGGAAGGAUCAUUACAGAAAGUAAACGCGGAUCGAACCGCGAACUUCUAAACCUUUGACGAUUGACUCAUGUUGCCUCGGCGGGUUCUCCCGCCAGAGGAUGCAUCAAAACUCCUGUUUUAACGAGUGUUGUCUGAGCUACAAGCAACGAAUCAAAACUUUCAACAACGGAUCUCUUGGUUCUGGCAUCGAUGAAGAACGCAGCGAAAUGCGAUAAGUAGUGUGAAUUGCAGAAUUCAGUGAAUCAUCGAAUCUUUGAACGCACAUUGCGCCCCUUGGUAUCCCGAGGGGCAUGCCUGUUCGAGCGUCAUUUCACCACUCAAGCCUGGCUUGGUGUUGGGCGACGUCCCCUUUGGGGACGCGCCUCGAAACGCUCGGCGGCGUGGCACCGGCUUUAAGCGUAGCAGAAUCUUUCGCUUUAAAGUCGGGGCCCCGUCUGCCGGAAGACCUACUCGCAAGGUUGACCUCGGAUCAGGCAGGGAUACCCGCUGAACUUAGC